UGGUGGCUGAACUGAAUACUUUGUUUUGGUUUUUUCUUGAUGUAUGUGGGGCUGGAUUUUAACCGCGUGUAUGAUAUAUGUGUGCAGGCACGUUCAGAACUGAGAUGGUUCCUUCUGAGUCAUGUUGCAGGGCUGAUUGAAUGGUUUAUGGAGGGUUGUACAAUGCGAACACGAUAGCAGGUGAGUGAUUUCGGAAUGAUGAGCUGAAUGGUGCGAACUUAAACUGCCUGUUCGGGAUAUGUAGGUUAUGGCAUUGGUGUGAAAUUGUAUGGCUUUUGUAGGAUGUAAGUGGUGCUGUUUGAAGGUUGAAUGGUAUGUGACCAUGACUUUGCAUUUAGUUUGUUAGGCCGAGAUACUGACAGUAUUUUUGAUGUGUUUCUAGUGUUUACAAGCAGCAUGAAGAAGAAUUGGGAUGAAAAGGCUUUGGAAAGAAAUAGGUUGAAGACAUGGUGACAGCAACAGCUUGCAUAUGGUAUGAAGUUUAUGCCAUUUUUUUUGGCAGUGCAUGGAGCAACAUGAAUGUGAAGUGGAAGAAGAUGAGAUUAGAAUAAAUGAAGGGAAAUAGAUCCCUUAGGAAGCCAACAGCUGCUAUUUUGUACAUUUUCUUGUAAAUCUUCCAUUUCCAUGUAAUGACCUUGUAUUGAGAUGGAUCCGGUAUUGAUUUUGAAAUAACAUAUGACAAGCUUUGACUUUGAAUUCUAAA
Long non-coding RNA from Vicia villosa (hairy vetch), 703 nucleotides. RefSeq lists it as uncharacterized. NCBI's taxonomy places the organism in Eukaryota, Viridiplantae, Streptophyta, Magnoliopsida, Fabales, Fabaceae. The transcript has 2 exons. The record is from RefSeq and is a predicted model, not a curated record.